UAAUGUGGUAGUUUCUGUAUUUGGCAGAUCUGUAAUUGUAUCAGAGCGGCCUUAAACUACCACAGAGAUCAGAAAGGAGAAGGCUGAGCUGAGAACUCUUUCAAGCUUUUUGGUUUUCAGCUUUUUGUUCAGCUCCUACAGAA
Molecule: small nucleolar RNA, 143 nt
Filed under: Buteo japonicus
Lineage: Eukaryota; Metazoa; Chordata; Aves; Accipitriformes; Accipitridae
Description: Small nucleolar RNA SNORA12 (ENSBJAG00000013897.1)
Rfam family: Small nucleolar RNA SNORA12
About the family: U108 belongs to the H/ACA family of snoRNAs.
Source: Rfam by way of RNAcentral